UCAUUUAAUUUCUCUAUAUGUAGGAGCUCAUUCACACAACUUAAGGUAUAUUUUCUAAACCCUAGCUAAAUAUCCUAUUCUGACUCUCGCACUCUUUAUUUUCUUUUCAUCUGGUCGUUGACUUGAUUAUUGGAGUGCAAAUGGUUGUUGGACAUUUUUUUCGACUGGUGGCCUUUGCAUCCUAACGAGCGAGGUAUUUCGUGUGCAGGUGAUAUCCACAGGGAAGAGACAAGGUCGAGGAUCUGUUGGCGAUAUAUUUUGGGGUCAACAGAUUGGCGCCAUCUGUGGGAAUCGCUAUGUGAACCAUGUUUCUCACCACAUUCCAAAAAAGCCAUCGGGAAAUAUGGUUUCCAGACAUAUUUCUACUGAAAAAGAGUAAAGAUAGCGAUGGAAAAAAUGUGGUUUUUCUGAGCAGUUUCUCUACCAAAGAGAAGGAAAAAUGGCAAAGGGAUUUGUCAAAGAAAGAGGCUUUGUUUUGCUCUGUAUUCAGCUAUGUUCAUCCAUUUUUUGGACUCAACACCAAAUGAAAUACAAAACCAGCUACAACACGAUUGAACUAAGAAGAGUUGAGGACCGAACGAGUUUAAUUUUUUCUUAUAUUAUAGCAUCC
RNAcentral lists this long non-coding RNA (610 nucleotides) under Olea europaea (common olive). RNAcentral describes it as "long non-coding RNA (OEUR_LNC007918)". The record is from RNAcentral. Lineage: Eukaryota; Viridiplantae; Streptophyta; Magnoliopsida; Lamiales; Oleaceae.